GGCAGUUCUCGGGUGAUGCACCCUGGAAUCAGGCUCCCUCCUCUCUGGUUCCAGGGUGCAUCACCCGAGAACCACA
Myotis davidii is the source of this 76-nucleotide non-coding RNA. Lineage: Eukaryota; Metazoa; Chordata; Mammalia; Chiroptera; Vespertilionidae. The record is from Rfam.